Molecule: long non-coding RNA, 2111 nt
Organism: Serinus canaria (Common canary)
Lineage: Eukaryota; Metazoa; Chordata; Aves; Passeriformes; Fringillidae
Exons: 3
Source: RefSeq, a predicted model, not a curated record
UCCCAGCAGGGAUAAAACCUGUUGGACACAGGCAGAGGCUGUUUGGGCAGGCAGAGAGGGGGUCUGGGGGCUCCGUGCUGGUUUAGGGGCUCCCUCUUUGAGUACUCGUUGUGGGUGUGCUCAAUGCUUGUUUGUGUGCUCAGUGAUCGUUGAGGUGCCCAAGGAUAAUUUAAGGGCUCAGUGAUUGUUUAGGUGCUCAGUGUUCCUGUGCCCAAGGAUUAUUUAUGUGUUAAAUGAUUGUUUAGGUGCCCAAGGAUUAUUUAAGUGCUCAAUAACUGUUUAGGUGCUCAAGGAUUAUUUAAGUGCUCAGUGAUUGUUUAGGUGCUCAGUGUUCAUGUGGCCAAGGAUUAUUUAAGUGUUCAAUGAUUGUUUAGGUGCCCAAGGAUUAUUUCAGUGCUCAGAGAUUGUUUAGGUGCCCAAGGAUUAUUUAAGGGCUUAAUGACUGUUUAGGUGCUCAAGGAUAAUUUAAGUGCUCAGUGAUUGUUUAGGUGCCCAAGGAUUAUUUAAGUGUUCAAUGAUUGUUUAGGUGCCCAAGGAUUAUUUAAGGGCUCAAUGACUGUUUAGGUGCUCAAGGAUUUUUAAGUGCUCAAUGUUUAGGUGCUCAGUGUUUGUGUGUGUGCUCAAGGCUUGUUUAAGUACUCAAUGAUUGUUUAGGUGCUCCAGGAUUUUUUGUGUGCUCAAUAUUUGGAUGUUUAGGUGCUCAAUGCUCGUGCUCAAUGUUUGUCUAAGUGUUCAAUGAUUGUUUAGGUGCCCAAGGAUUAUUUAAGUGUUCAGUGAUUGUUUAGGUGCCCAAGGAUUAUUUAAGGGCUCAAUGUUUAGGUGCUCAAUGUUUGUUUGUGUGCUCAGUGUUUGUUUAAGUACUCAGUGAUUGUUUAAACGCUCAAGGAUUUUUUAUGUGCUCAAUAUUUAGGUGUUCAGUGUUUAGGUGCUCAAUAUUUAAGUGCUCAGUGUUCAAGUGCCCAAUGUUUGUUUAGGUGAUCUGUGUUUAAGUGCUGAAUUUUUGGGUGCUAGGUGUUUGUUUAAGUGCUCAACCAUCAUUUAGGUGCUCAGUGUUUAGGUGCUGAAUGUUUGUUUAGGUGCUCAUUAAUUGUUUCAGUGCUCAGUGAUUGUUUAGGUGCUCAUUAAUUGUUUCAGUGCUCAGUGAUUGUUUAGGUGCUCAUUAAUUGUUUAUGUACUCAAUGAUUGUUUAAGUGCUCCAUAUGUAAGUGCCCAGUGUUUCUAUAGGUGCUCAAUGUUUAGGUGCUCACCGUUGGGGUGUUCAACACUGUUUAAGUGCUCAGUGUUUGUUUAGGUGCUCAAUGAUUUUUAGGUGCUCAGUGCUUAAGUGUUCAGUGUUAGUUUGGGUGUUCAAUGACUGUUCAGGUGCUCAAUAACUGUUCAAGCCCCCAGUGUUUCAGUGUUCAGUGUUAGUUUGGGUGUUCAGUGUUAGUUUGGGUGUUCAGUGACUGUUCAGGUGCUCAAUAACUGUUCAAGCCCCCAGUGUUUCAGUGCUCAGUGUUAGUUUGGGUGUUCAAUGACUGUUCAGGUGCUCAAUAACUGUUCAAGCCCCCAGUGUUUCAGUGUUCAGUGUUAGUUUGGGUGUUCAGUGACUGUUCAGGUGCUCAAUAACUGUUCAAGCCCCCAGUGUUUCAGUGUUCAGUGUUAGUUUGGGUGCUCAGUGUUAGUUUAGGUGCUCACUGUUGGAUGUUCAAUGAUUGUUUAAGUGCUCCAUGUUUGCUUAGGUGCCCAAGGAUUUUUUCAGUGCCCAGUGUUUGUUUAGGUGCUCAGGGGUUGUUUGGGCGUUCAGUGUUGAAGUGCCAAUGUUUGUUUGGAUGUUCAAUGAUUGUUUAAGUGCUCCAUGUUCAAGUGGUCAGUGUUUGUUUGGGUGUUAAAGGAUUGUGUAAGUGACUGUUUAAGUGCUCAGUGUUAGUUUAGGUGGUCGGUCAGGACUGUUCUCUUAGAAAGGCAAUUGGUGAAGGUUUCUUUGGGUAGUCCAGGAAUGUUUGUUUGGGUUCUGCAAUUGGUGCUUGUUUGUUUGGGCUGUUCAGGAAUGUUUUUGGGUUGUCCAAUUGGUGUUUGUUUGGGUAGUCCAGGAAUGGAUUUUUGGGUUGUCCAAUUGGUGUUUGUUUGGG